Molecule: non-coding RNA, 282 nt
Organism: Cinara cedri
Lineage: Eukaryota; Metazoa; Arthropoda; Insecta; Hemiptera; Aphididae
Source: the annotation of a GenBank genome assembly
GUUUAUAGUAUUAUGUAAAUACAUGAUAGUAUUAGCAUAGAUAAUCUAUGAGUAAAUAUAUAGCUCUGAUAUAUUCCGUGGUAUGAAUUACGAUCAUGACUAAAUAAAUAAAUUACUAUGUAUGAAUGUAUGAUCACAAUGCACAACUUUAUAUUAUAUAAAUUAUAAAUUUAGCCAUUUGGUAAUCUAUGUGGAUUAUUGGACAAUGGACAUCACGGUUAUGAUAAUCAUAACAAAUAUUUUGAAUUUUGAUUAUUAUUGAUUAUACUGCUUACCUGUUUG